Molecule: ribosomal RNA, 564 nt
Filed under: uncultured Glomeromycotina
Lineage: Eukaryota; Fungi; Glomeromycota
Description: SSU rRNA
Rfam family: Eukaryotic small subunit ribosomal RNA
Source: RNAcentral
UUGGAGGGCAAGUCUGGUGCCAGCAGCCGCGGUAAUUCCAGCUCCAAUAGCGUAUAUUAAAGUUGCUGCAGUUAAAAAGCUCGUAGUUGAAUUUCGGGACUAUCAUGUCGGUCGUGCCUCGGUACGUACUGGUAUUGUUGGUUUCUCCCUUCUGACGAACCAUGAUGUCAUUUAUUUGGUGUUGUGGGGAAUCAGGACUGUUACUUUGAAAAAAUUAGAGUGUUUAAAGCAGGCUCACGCUUGAAUACAUUAGCAUGGGAUAAUGAAAUAGGACGUUUGAUUCUAUUUUGUUGGUUUCUAGGAUCGACGUAAUGAUUAAUAGGGAUAGUUGGGGGCAUUAGUAUUCAAUUGUCAGAGGUGAAAUUCUUGGAUUUAUUGAAGACUAUCUACUGCGAAAGCAUUUGCCAAGGAUGUUUUCAUUAAUCAAGAACGAAAGUUAGGGGAUCGAAGACGAUCAGAUACCGUCGUAGUCUUAACCAUAAACUAUGCCGACUAGGGAUCGGAUGAUGUUAAUUUUUUAAUGACUCAUUCGGCGCCUUACGGGAAACCAAAGUGUUUGGGUUC